AUUCAUUUUAGUUUUCUAUGAGAUUGUAUUGCACAAUGUAGAAAAAAACUUGGUGUAGUUACUAAAAUACUAGGUCUUUGAUGGAAUUUAGAUUUUCUCAUAAUAUG
Ipomoea nil (Japanese morning glory) is the source of this 107-nucleotide long non-coding RNA. RefSeq lists it as uncharacterized. The transcript is spliced from 3 exons. NCBI's taxonomy places the organism in Eukaryota, Viridiplantae, Streptophyta, Magnoliopsida, Solanales, Convolvulaceae. The record is from RefSeq and is a predicted model, not a curated record.